This 433-nucleotide ribosomal RNA is filed under the name uncultured bacterium. RNAcentral describes it as "partial 16S ribosomal RNA". It matches the Rfam family "Bacterial small subunit ribosomal RNA", at positions 29 to 507 of the family's 1533-position model. The record is from RNAcentral.
AACGAACGCUGGCGGCAUGCCUAACACAUGCAAGUCGAACGAGACCUUCGGGACUAGUGGCGCACGGGUGUGUAACGCGUGGGAACCUGCCCUUAGGUUCGGAAUAACUCCCCGAAAGGGGUGCUAAUACCGGAUAAUGUCUUCGGACCAAAGAUUUAUCGCCUUUGGAUGGGCCCGCGUUGGAUUAGCUAGUUGGUAGGGUAAAAGCCUACCAAGGCGACGAUCCAUAGCUGGUCUGAGAGGAGGAUCAGCCACACUGGGACUGAGACACGGCCCAGACUCCUACGGGAGGCGGCAGUGGGGAAUAUUGGACAAUGGGCGAAGGGCUGAUCCAGCAAGGCCGGGUGAGUGAUGAAGGCCUUAGGGUUGUAAAGCUCUUUUACCCGGGAUGAUAAUGACGGUACCGGGAGAAUAAGCUCCGGCUAACUCCGUG